Molecule: ribosomal RNA, 429 nt
Filed under: Chloroflexota bacterium
Lineage: Bacteria; Bacillati; Chloroflexota
Description: Chloroflexi bacterium partial 16S ribosomal RNA
Rfam family: Bacterial small subunit ribosomal RNA
Source: RNAcentral
UGGGGAAUAUUGCACAAUGGGCGCAAGCCUGAUGCAGCCAUGCCGCGUGUGUGAAGAAGGCCUUCGGGUUGUAAAGCACUUUCAGCGGGGAGGAAGGCGUUAAGGUUAAUAACCUUGGCGAUUGACGUUACCCGCAGAAGAAGCACCGGCUAACUCCGUGCCAGCAGCCGCGGUAAUACGGAGGGUGCAAGCGUUAAUCGGAAUUACUGGGCGUAAAGCGCACGCAGGCGGUCUGUCAAGUCGGAUGUGAAAUCCCCGGGCUCAACCUGGGAACUGCAUUCGAAACUGGCAGGCUAGAGUCUUGUAGAGGGAGGUAGAAUUCCAGGUGUAGCGGUGAAAUGCGUAGAGAUCUGGAGGAAUACCGGUGGCGAAGGCGGCCCCCUGGACAAAGACUGACGCUCAGGUGCGAAAGCGUGGGGAGCAAACAGG